UUUCCCCUCUCACACACCAGAAUUUCACCCGUGUCAGCAUUCAAGUGUUAGAUGUGAAUGAUAACCCUCCUCAGUUCACAAAGGCUCAGUACUCAGCCAGUGUGAGAGUGGCAACAGCAAAGGAAGGAGAGUUUGUGCUGGCAGUGUCUGCUACUGACCCUGAUGCUGGGAACAACUCAGUCAUUUCAUACAGCUUCAUGGAUCCUUCUGAUGAUUUCCAUAUAAAUACCCUCACUGGAGAAAUCACCCUCAGCAGGAGCUUGGACCACAUCACAGCUGACACAGUUGUCACACUGACAGUUGUUGCUGCUGAUCAUGGAGUUCCCCAGCUGACAUCACAGGUCUCUGUCACUCUCUACUUGCUGGUAAAUGACACCAGCUUCGGGCUGACUUUUGAGAGCUCCAGCUACGAGUUCAGCAUUGAUGAGAACGAGCCAUCAGGGACUGCAGUGGGCUCUGUGAAGGCUCUGACUGGAAGCAUAGCUGUGCAGGUGGUGUAUUCCCUGAAAUCCCACCGGGACAAGUUCUCCGUGGGUGACCAAGGAGACAUCGUGGCCCUUGUCGGGCUCGAUCGGGAAGAAGUCGACCUGUACAGCAUCAUCGUGGAGGCUGUGGAUUCUGUGCUGCCACCCAGCACAGCUGUGGCUUUGGUAUGGAACA
This 660-nucleotide long non-coding RNA is filed under the name Lepidothrix coronata (blue-crowned manakin). RNAcentral's name for it is "lncRNA (ENSLCOG00000012550.1)". Lineage: Eukaryota; Metazoa; Chordata; Aves; Passeriformes; Pipridae. The record is from RNAcentral.